This 496-nucleotide ribosomal RNA is filed under the name uncultured bacterium. Its description in RNAcentral is "partial 16S ribosomal RNA". It matches the Rfam family "Bacterial small subunit ribosomal RNA", at positions 29 to 507 of the family's 1533-position model. The record is from RNAcentral.
AUGAACGCUGGCGGCGUGCCUAAUACAUGCAAGUCGAGCGAACGGACGAGAAGCUUGCUUCUCUGAUGUUAGCGGCGGACGGGUGAGUAACACGUGGAUAACCUACCUAUAAGACUGGGAUAACUUCGGGAAACCGGAGCUAAUACCGGAUAAUAUUUUGAACCGCAUGGUUCAAAAGUGGAAGACGGUCUUGCUGUCACUUAUAGAUGGAUCCGCGCUGCAUUAGCUAGUUGGUAAGGUAACGGCUUACCAAGGCAACGAUGCAUAGCCGACCUGAGAGGGUGAUCGGCCACACUGGAACUGAGACACGGUCCAGACUCCUACGGGAGGCAGCAGUAGGGAAUCUUCCGCAAUGGGCGAAAGCCUGACGGAGCAACGCCGCGUGAGUGAUGAAGGUCUUCGGAUCGUAAAACUCUGUUAUUAGGGAAGAACAUAUGUGUAAGUAACUGUGCACAUCUUGACGGUACCUAAUCAGAAAGCCACGGCUAACUACGUG